UACCAGCACCCCGAGUGGUCGGGACGAUUAUUGGGCCUAAAGCAUCCGUAGCCGGUUCUACAAGUCUUCCGUUAAAUCCACCUGCUCAACAGUUGGGCUGCGGAGGAUACUAUAGAGCUAGGAGGCGGGAGAGGCAAGCGGUACUUAGUGGGUAGGGGUAAAAUCCGUUGAUCCAUUGAAGACCACCAGUGGCGAAGGCGGCUUGCCAGAACGCACUCGACGGUGAGGGAUGAAAGCUGGGGGAGCAAGCCGG
Molecule: ribosomal RNA, 253 nt
Filed under: uncultured bacterium
Lineage: Bacteria
Description: partial 16S ribosomal RNA
Rfam family: Archaeal small subunit ribosomal RNA
Source: RNAcentral